Long non-coding RNA from Cephus cinctus (wheat stem sawfly), 3028 nucleotides. RefSeq lists it as uncharacterized. Lineage: Eukaryota; Metazoa; Arthropoda; Insecta; Hymenoptera; Cephidae. The record is from RefSeq and is a predicted model, not a curated record. The transcript is spliced from 2 exons.
CGUUACAACCUUUUGCAAUGGUGUAAAAAACUUCAACAGUAUUUGGUUAUGUCAAUCAAAUUUUUGUUUUGUAAAACAGCAGAAAAUUGUACAUUGAGCCGAUUAUGUUAUACCGUGUGCACAAUAUUUACCGUGUGCACUCCAAAACUUACUUUUAGUCAUUCAAAAUAUCGUGUGUUAUAAGCAAUGAGUAAUGAAAUGGUAACGAUGUCUCAUGAUUACUGGUUUUUUUUCGAUAAAUUUUAUCGUGAAUUUCGUAAGAAAAAUUAACUAAAAAUUCUCUCCGUGUAGGCAUGAAAAUAUUGUAUUUUAUUGCCAACAAUCUUACUUCAUUUCCCACAUAACUUUCGGAACUUGCACUCUUACUAAUUUGUCUAGUUAAAUGUUCACUGGCAGAUGAAAAUUUAGAUUUUCUCUCACUUACAUCGCUAUUGAUACUUUUUCUGACUGUACUAAAUUAUUUACUUCCUUAUUUGCUUGAGCAAAGUUCGACAGGAAAUGAUUUAAGAGAUUUGUCAUUGCACAAAUGGCCGGACUUAAUAGGAUCUUCAGUCUAUCAAACAUAAAUUGCAUAUUUUUACUUAACCAAUAGUUUCAUAGUCCUUACAUUUAUAAUUACAAUUUAUCUGCUUCACAUAUUAUACUUUAUAGUUUUUGAUAUUUUCGCAUUUCAACUUGCGUUUUAAUUCAUUACCUUUUCACGAUCCAUCUUUCACGACUAAUGAUCGACACACGCAAAAAAUACAUAGUCCAUCUAACGAUGCAGUCUGACUAUAAUUUAGUGCAUCAUAUACUAUAACGGUAGGAACGUAGGACGAUUAGUGCGCCCUCUAUACAAAUAUAGAUAUCUUAUUGAAACCUGAUCAGGGCCAUAAGAGUUAACAUUAUCCUAGCCUGAAUGAGGAAAUAUGGCUUCUUGAGCAAGGUUUCCUAAUUACGCUGUCCUAAGAAAAGGUAUGUAUAGACCGUAACUAUAAUAUUCUCAAUAGCUCUUGAUCAAUGUCUGACUAAAAAAUAAUAGUAGCUCCACAGUUCUGGAAGCCCUCUUCCGCCCUCAUCUGGGACGACUAUAUAUGAGGAAUGCCCUAUUACAUUUUUACCUGGAACCUUGUGAUGUGCCACAUCGGGCCCUCGAGCGAGCCGCCCUUAGUAGCAAUACGACCGAUAGGUGAAGAAGAAACAAUCGGGAGUAGCCGUUUGACCGCUGACAUAUGAGAUUAUCUGUCUGACGUUAAGAUCUCUUUUGUAUUUUUUGUAAACUUAUUAAAAGUUAUUCUGUUAUCUGAAAUCUCCAGCUCGUUCCUUAUUGAAAGUCCUAUCAUAUCCUACACAGGGCACUAUUAUACUGUUAUUAUAUCGUCUGUUGAAAUGGCGUUUCCCAUACUCGAAGAAUAAAAAAACCUAGAACAUACAAAGGCAGCAGACCAGGUUAUAACGCUGAUAAAGUUAUAUUAUAAUUAUGCACGAGUAGCUAUCAAUCCGUUUUUAAGGGCACACAAGCUACCUUGAAACGAACAAGUAGAAAGUGCAGCGUGCGCAGAUCGCACGUUCUACCCGUACUAUUCAAAGUUGAAGGUUUUCUGCUAUUUCUUGUCCGUGUUUGCAGGUCUCAGUGCCGCUACAACAUUGGCUGGUGGUAUUGUAGGUAAAGCUGAAGAUGCAUAAUGCGAACGCAGUUAAAGAGCGGCUGGAGGAAAGUCAACGGUACAAGAAGACGAUGGAAAUCAUCGCAUUUGUUAAAGGACUGUACUCAACCCUAUAAAAAACACAUUCAUUUCAUUGCAUUCAUUUAAAGUAAAAAAAAACUUUAAGUGAAACUACCACGUUACCCGAUGCAGAUCUGCUCAGGUAUGUCAAGAUCAUGAAGUAGUACAAAUUAGAGAAUUCUAGAACAGGAUUCCUGUAACGGACAUUUAUCGACAUUUGACAGCCUCCAAAAGUUCGCGUACAUGUUAAAUCAAUGUCGUGGAUCCUCCCCCAUAAUUUCAAGGAUUGACGUCAUAGGAAUCACCGAUUUCAGAAAUUUUGCAAUGAAAUUUGAACAAUAACAUCAAAAGAAAAGUCAAUGAACAGCAAAAGAGAGAAGGAGUGACAAUAUACAUAGGGAAUACUUGGAAUUAGCAUUCAAGGGUAAAAUGAGAACUGGAGUAAUAACCAACUUACAGCACAAGGCCUUGAAGCAUUUCUUGGAAGAUUCAAGGAAAUUUAUCGCGACGAAGUGCAAAAUACGUUACAAAAAACAUGGAAACUUGAAAAUAAAAUAAUAAUGUGACGGAAAAAUUGCAAACUAAAAUAGUCGACUUCCAAGGGAAGUCAUCAGACUGGUCAUUACUUGAAAUUAUAAACAUGGCAGUGAACACCAAUAGAUACAUUCCGCUAUACGGAUGCUAAUUCUUAAAUGCUACUCAACCUAAACCUAAACGAAUCAAUAAAUUGAAACUUUACAAUCGUAUCUUUCACGCUCUUCAUGAAAGACGUAUACCGCUCAUUAUUUACUGGUACAUACCAUGUCCACUGUGCCCUCGAAAGAUAUAGUCAAAGCUCUGAUCAAGAAGUGUGAAUCAGAAUCUGGUAAGUUAUGAAACACAAUAGGAACGUUAUGUGAGUUCUUGUAGUUCAAAUUACACGCCUCAUGUGUACACCACAAGACUAGCCUGUGAAAUGGCAAUGACCACGAUGCUGGGCAUCCUGAAGUAUAAAUGGUUUUUCGCAAAUGUGAAAAAUCUUUGCCGAGUAACAUUCAUUGCUAUGUUUAAAAUUUAAAGACGCCAUUGAUACGAUAUGUUUCAGGCAAAGUUCUAUAAAGUGGGCUAAUUCCUUUAAUUUACUCAUAAACAGUUACACGGAAUCAUUUCCACAAUAAAUAAAAAAAUUUGAGAUAAAGUCAUUACUUUUACAUUAUAAAUAAAAUGAUAUGCUGUGUAAAAUCUGUUUUGUGAAAAAUCGUCGUGUUUGAAAAGUUGAAUGUGCCCGUAAACGGCUCUAAAAUCCACUCAAUGUCUGCAUAAAUAGCAAACAGUACAGAUUC